This 442-nucleotide ribosomal RNA is filed under the name uncultured bacterium. Its description in RNAcentral is "bacterial SSU rRNA". It matches the Rfam family "Bacterial small subunit ribosomal RNA", at positions 338 to 795 of the family's 1533-position model. The record is from RNAcentral.
CCUACGGGAGGCUGCAGUGGGGAAUCUUGCGCAAUGGGCGAAAGCCUGACGCAGCGACGCCGCGUGGGUGAUGAAGUUUUUCGAAACGUAAAACCCUGUCGGGAGGGACGAAGCUCUGACGGUACCUCCAAAGGAAGCCCCGGCUAACUCCGUGCCAGCAGCCGCGGUAAUACGGGGGGGGCUAGCGUUGUUCGGAAUUACUGGGCGUAAAGGGCGCGUAGGCGGCUGAGCAGGUCCGGUGUGAAAUCCCUCGGCUUAACUGAGGAAUUGCGCUGGAAACCGCUCGGCUAGAGUACAGGAGAGGAGGGCGGAAUUCUCGGUGUAGCGGUGAAAUGCGUAGAUAUCGAGAAGAACACCGGUGGCGAAGGCGGCCCUCUGGACUGUCACUGACGCUGAGGCGCGAAAGCGUGGGGAGCGAACGGGCUUAGAUACCCCGGUAGUC